This is a non-coding RNA of Otolemur garnettii (small-eared galago), 61 nucleotides long. The record is from Rfam. NCBI's taxonomy places the organism in Eukaryota, Metazoa, Chordata, Mammalia, Primates, Galagidae.
GGGAAACGGGAAGAGGGCCCAGCCCCAGGGCCCGUCACAAACCAGACAAGCUUUCGGGGCA